RNAcentral lists this ribosomal RNA (309 nucleotides) under Triticum aestivum (bread wheat). Its description in RNAcentral is "partial small subunit ribosomal RNA". The record is from RNAcentral. Lineage: Eukaryota; Viridiplantae; Streptophyta; Magnoliopsida; Poales; Poaceae.
AUGCUUCUUUCUCUCCUCUCACCAACCAGCCAUGACGAUUUCUCAAAAAAAAAAAAAAAACCAGCCAUGAACGCCGCCUCCCCUUCUACCAGCCAUGGCGUUCUCCCCCAACCCUCCUGCUACAACGGCGCCACCCGACAGCGGUGUUGCAAUCAGCACCAGCCGGAGCUGGAGACGACGUACAUAGCUGCAACCGGCACCUACUCAAGGUGCUUCAACUGCUUUGAAAAAAGUUUCUACCGGCAUAGAAAAAAGCUUCAACCAUGGAGAAAAGCUACAACCGAUGUAGAGGAAAAGCUUCAAACGUGA